This 696-nucleotide ribosomal RNA is filed under the name Triticum aestivum (bread wheat). Its description in RNAcentral is "partial small subunit ribosomal RNA". The record is from RNAcentral. Lineage: Eukaryota; Viridiplantae; Streptophyta; Magnoliopsida; Poales; Poaceae.
AUGAAAGAGUAUGCAGAUGCUGUUAAGUUUCGUGGUCAGAAUGGAUGGACCAAAGAAGGAUGGAAAAGCAUGGCUACACGCUUGAACAAUCAGUUCCCGAGAGCUAAUUUUAUUGUUGAUCAACUAAAAUUUAGGGAGCAGUGGUUGAAGAAAGAAUAUUUUAUUGUCAAAUCUAUUGUAGAGAAGAGUGGCUUCGGUUUUGAUCCUAAUACAAAAAUGCCAACAACCAUUGAUGAAAAAUGGGAUGAAUUGAGCAAAGAACAACAGAAGUGGAGAUACAAAGCUUUCCCUUACUAUGAUGACUUGCAUGCAAUUUAUGAUGGUAAAACAGCGGAGGGGAAGGGUUGUAAGAGGACAACUGAUGUGGUUGAAGAGAAGUCCAGUCCGGCUACAGAUUUACCACAAGGGGAAAGCUUCACACAACAAGUUCUAGAUGCCACUGGACUUAAUUCGCAUAGUCCAACAUUACCGACUCCAGGCUUUGAAGGUCAUAAUUACGAGUGGACUGAAGGCAUAUAUGGUGAGGAUGUUGAAGUAUUUCCUGUUAACAACACAGAACGUAUGGAAAAUAACAGUAGCCAAAUUCCCACAGAACACAUGAACACACUUCCUGACCCACCACCUAUGAAAAGGGCUAGGACUUCUAAAGGCAAUGAUGAAAGUAAGGCUAAGAGAGGCAAAGAAACAGGGAUUUAA